CCGAGUGAGGGCUCACGCCCGACCUCCAACCCACUGUGAACCAAUGUUGUUGCUUCGGGGGCGACCCUGCCGGCACUCUGUCGCCGGGCGCCCCCGGAGGUCUCCUAAACACUGCAUCUCUGCGUCGGAGUUCAAUUAAAUCGAACA
This 147-nucleotide unclassified non-coding RNA is filed under the name Pseudocercospora griseola f. griseola. RNAcentral describes it as "internal transcriebd spacer 1". Lineage: Eukaryota; Fungi; Ascomycota; Dothideomycetes; Mycosphaerellales; Mycosphaerellaceae. The record is from RNAcentral.